Egretta garzetta (little egret) is the source of this 4265-nucleotide RNA transcript. It is a transcript of the gene named TNFRSF1A associated via death domain, with no coding region annotated. The record is from RefSeq and is a predicted model, not a curated record. The transcript has 4 exons. NCBI's taxonomy places the organism in Eukaryota, Metazoa, Chordata, Aves, Pelecaniformes, Ardeidae.
GUAGUGCCAUACAGCUUCAGGUGGACACCAUACUUCAUGGAGAUAGAUGGUGGCGGGGCAGCAAAAGCUUAAUCCUUUCCUCCUGGUUUUAUGUACAGGUUUUUCAUCCCAGAGGACUUUAUCCCAGAGAGAAGAGAAUUCAAAAGCUGCUCCAUUGCAGGGUUGGUGGUGGAUGGGAGUGGGACUGGGUUGUCUGUCUCAUGUCCAGAUAGUGACUCUGCUCGCUUCUCCCUGCCAGACUCCACCGGCAGCAUGAAUGGUGUGGACAUGCUCAAAGUGCACUGCAGCCACCCACACCUGAUAGUCCAGCUCAAGUUCUGCAAGCAGGAGAACUGCCGUCGGUUCCUGCGGAGUUACCGGGAAGGAGUGCUCCAGGAGUCCCUCAAGAAUCACCUCCAGCUCUUCUUGGCCAUCACCACAGUGCCUCUUGAAAUGGAGCUGAAGGCUGGCAACGAGCACCUCGACAACAUGCUGAAGGAUGAGGAUCGCUGCCUGGAGUGCAUCUACAGAGAAAAGCCUGACCGCCUGCGGGACGAGGAAAUCACAGAGCUGGAGGAAUGCCUCAAGAGCCUGAUUGUUCACCAGAGCUUCAACAACAAUAUUGCUGUAAAAGACUGCACGUCUCUGAACUCCCCAUCUCUACCUCAUCCUUCUCAAGGCAGAUCCGUUGUCCCACAAGUCACCUUCAUCUUUCAGGGACAACAGUUUGCCAACAGAACACUCACAGCAGAUGACCACCAGAAAUUUGCCAAGCUCGUGUCCAAGAAAUGGAAGCAAGUGGGUCGCUCUUUGCAGAAGAACUGCCGGGCCCUGCGUGAUCCCGUCAUCGAUAACCUGGCCCUCGAGUAUGACCGAGAGGGACUAUACGAACAAGCCUAUCAGCUGCUUCUCAGAUUUAUCCAGUCAGAGGGGAAGAAGGCCACAAUAGCGCGGCUGAUUGCAGCCCUGGAAGAAAAUGGUCUCAUCAGCUUGGCUGAAGAGCUCUUGGGCCUCCAUUCCAACGAGGACUACUCCUAGAGCCCAAAGGGUAGCAGCAUUGCUAAGGGCUUUCUUGCUUUAGCUGGUGUAUGAAACUGCUGCCAGUGCCUGGGAAUGUAAAGUCCUGAAAAUCGCCACAGGUUUCCAUGUAGAUGGGAAUGUCCAGGGGAGAGGUUCUUGUGUCAGAACGCAGAAACUUCUUGCAGAAGGCACGGACCUCUGACGUUCCUUAUUUCAUUCUGUUUCCUGAAGUCAGCGUUACCUUCGGGUGAACUGGUGAGAGAGGCUUUCAGCCUGACUUCCUUCAGGACUGAAAUGUCACAGGGAAACAGCUAGACAGGGAGCCCUAGGGGAGGGUGGGGGAGAGGAAGAAAUCUGCAAGGAAGGCAUCUCAGAGAAUUUCUCUGGGAAGCAGACAAUGCCACUGUUUCUCAGGCUGUGGUCCAGGGCCAUCACCUGGAGAGCUGCAAUAUAUUUUUUAUAUUGAAGACAUUUAUGCCCUUGGGCAUGACAUCAAGCAAAGACAGUGGGGAAAUUAAGGAAAAGUCAAUUUUAUAUUAUUUUCGUUAUUCAAAGGAGGAACAUAUGUGGCAAGUGCCUCUGCCCUGCCCUACCCUAGCAUAGGUCCUUCCCACCUCUCACCACCUGAAGGUUUCCCUUUUAUCUGGGACAGUCAUAAUCUUCCACAGGGCAAAAGACUGCUGCCAUAGAACAGAUUUCGGGCACUGAGCAAGCAAAAUGGACAAACACAAAUUCAGAGAACAAUUCCCAACUUUUUCUGGACUGUGGUGGACAAUAAUAUAUCGGCUACAUUGCACUUGGCUCUUUCCCCCCAGCCUGAGGGAGCCUGUGAAAAGCAAAACACAGCGCUGGAAGGAAAACUGUCUCCUAGUCAGCAAGUUACCUGUGGAGUGCAGGUUGGAACUGCUGCCCAAAGGUGUGUUGCAGCAUCAAAUGCCACCUUGACCCCAGCCCACAGAGCCGAGCAGUCGCCUCUGACCAGCUGGCUGCUAGUGCCUUCGCCGUCUUCUUCACUGCCUGCCCUCGGCCUGCCGAGUUCACUGGAGAAGAUAGCUCACGCCGUCGUGUCUCACAACACUGGGGAUUUGCACAGAGCCUCUCCCUGGCGACAUUGUCACUGUGUGACAAUCAGAUUCCCUCUCAAAAGUGCCAUUAAGUGCUGGAGCUCCUGGCAACCUUUCUGGAAUAUCAUCAUCUUUAACAGCAUUCACAGGUGCCUUCAUUGCAGAGACUCAAAGGAAAAGGGCUUUCCAGUGAUAUUCUAUGGUGGAAUUGUCUUGGGCACAUGGCAUGGUUUGGAACCAUAGCAGUGGCUGUUCCAUACCUUCUUUUCCAUAAUCGAUCAUCAUCAUCCUCCUCCUCCUCAUUAGAUGGAAUGAAAACUCGAUUCUGGCCUCAAGCGGACUCCUUCCUGCUAAAAGAGUAGGGUUUUUUAGUAUUAUCUGGCACAAACAUAGAUAAAGACAAUUUUCACAGAAGCCUUAGAAUGAAAUAGAUCAAUUGGGUCGUGAGUACACACUGUCCUUUGUAUUGAUUUGGUGUUUGCCUGGGACUUGACUCUGAAUUCACUUCUGUUCUACCCAGAAGACUUUACAGCGGUUUUACGCCAGCACAGAAAGACAAGGGAACUCACAUCACACAGGGAAGGACGAAGCACUCACAGAGGAAGAAAGGUCAGGAGAGAUCUGUUGAAGAAAUCGGAGGCGUCUUCACCUCAGGUAGUAAUGCAGUGAGUGGAACUAAAGGAGGAGCCAGGUGCUGGGGACGCACCAGAAACCCCGGGCCGCGUGCUAGACCGAGGGCUAUAACAGGGCCUCCCGGUGACUGCCUGGCUGUCACACUGUUGGAAGGGGAGCACACUCCUGCUUUCUUCCUUGUCUGUGCAAAGUUAGCUGCACACACACCGCACCUGACUCAGAUGCCAGACAUGCAAGCGGCGCUGCCUUACUACUAUUUAUACCGAUUAGCUAACGUCUAGCCUGUGAGAUAAGCCAUGGGCAGUGCUGCUGCUGGUGGACGUGGCCUUAUCCUGUAACAGCUCUUCUCUAUAUAGGGAGAUAUGUCUGGGGGAAAAAAAAAAAUGUGGGGAGGGUUGGUGGUUUCAGAAUCAAACAUGCAGCAAACCAGCACACGAUAUUAAAAGCAAAUAAAGAUGCUAAUCAGUUGCAUAUAAAAAAAUGAAACAGACAAAGUAUAAAACUCACACAGCAGAAACCAGACCAAAAUGCGCUUACAGGAAGGGAUCCAAGAGGGCUUUUUUGUGGUACAGAUUGUUUUUGUAGCUUUAGCGGUGUUUCACAUUUGAAGGAGGCUCCUUUCAGUCUGCCAGAAAGAAUAAAAGAUCCAUCCAAAGGAGAAUUUGAACGAUUUGUUUUGGCAUAGCUGAGCUACAGCAUUCAGAUGGGUAAUAACAAAAGAGGAGCAUGGAAGUUAAAAUGCUCACCAUGUGAGCAUUUGAUGUGAGGCAUCUGACAGAAGUAAACCUGAGAGUAUACCCUGCUAUAAAAGUGUCACGAGGGGAGAAUAUCAAACUGUCCUGGAGGGCAGAGCCAGCGAAAGGCCAACAUUGACCCUCUUAGCUGCCUGUUAAAAAUGCACCAUAAAUUAAUUCAUCUGCUGAAGACGACGAUGUGCCGUCACGGCAUGUAGGGAAGGUGCUCUCUUCCAGCAGCUUCAGUUCUCAUGUGCCACAAUUGCUUACAGCAGGAGCAGUUUGCCAGCUGAAAACAGUAUUUGAAACAAAAAUAAGGAAAAAAAAAAAAUCAGCAGUAUUGAUUGGAAGCACGUAAAAAUCAAUCACAAGCUGGACCUUAAAGAAAUCAAAAUUUUCUUCCAGAUUUGCGUAGCAAGUCUAAUUAAAAACAAAUGUCAACAGCUUGCAGCAGCACUUUCCACGUUUCCAUUUUCAGCCUCAGCCCUACCAUUGCAGAGAUGGGUAUCAUCUGGAUGAUUUUUAAUGCAAAAUGGGGUGCUAAUGUCACAGCACUGCAGGUUACAGAGCUUCCUGAAAAAAUUAGAGCCUCCAAGUAAAACAGUUUGCUGGAAUUUCAUAGCUGGGAAGUCUCAGAACUGUAUCAGUUUGAACAUUUGGGGAAAGCCGAUGCAGAAAAUAGAAUAUACUUUGCACCACUGUCAAGAUACAGAAAACCUAAGGCCAAGAAAGCGCGUAGGCUUAGAGCUGAGGGAAACCGCUUGUUGCGAGAAGGCGUAUGUGCGUGGUGUGGACGCAGCUCCAGGCAGAGGUCUUUUCCCAGUGUGAGGAAAUU